RNAcentral lists this ribosomal RNA (210 nucleotides) under uncultured bacterium. Its description in RNAcentral is "partial 16S ribosomal RNA". It matches the Rfam family "Bacterial small subunit ribosomal RNA", at positions 568 to 774 of the family's 1533-position model. The record is from RNAcentral.
UGCGUAGGUGGCGCCGUAAGUCAGGUGUGAAAUUUCGGAGCUUAACUCCGAAACUGCAUUUGAUACUGCGGUGCUUGAGGACUGGAGAGGAGACUGGAAUUCACGGUGUAGCAGUGAAAUGCGUAGAUAUCGUGAGGAAGACCAGUGGCGAAGGCGGGCCUCUGGACAGUUCCUGACACUGAGGCACAAGGGCCAGGGGGAAGGCAAACG